GCCGGGGUAGCUCAGUUGGUAGUAGCACUGCACUCAUAAAGCAGAGGUCGCGGGAUCGUAGCCCGCCCCCGGCACAA
RNAcentral lists this transfer RNA (77 nucleotides) under Candidatus Lloydbacteria bacterium CG22_combo_CG10-13_8_21_14_all_47_15. RNAcentral describes it as "tRNA-Met". It matches the Rfam family "tRNA". Rfam says of the family: Transfer RNA (tRNA) molecules are approximately 80 nucleotides in length. The record is from RNAcentral. Lineage: Bacteria; Candidatus Lloydiibacteriota.